RNAcentral lists this ribosomal RNA (488 nucleotides) under uncultured bacterium. RNAcentral's name for it is "partial 16S ribosomal RNA". It matches the Rfam family "Bacterial small subunit ribosomal RNA", at positions 30 to 505 of the family's 1533-position model. The record is from RNAcentral.
AUUGAACGCUGGCGGCAGGCCUAACACAUGCAAGUCGAACGGUAACAGGAAGAAGCUUGCUUCUUUGCUGACGAGUGGCGGACGGGUGAGUAAUGUCUGGGAAACUGCCUGAUGGAGGGGGAUAACUACUGGAAACGGUAGCUAAUACCGCAUAACGUCGCAAGACCAAAAAGGGGGACCUUCGGGCCUCUUGCCAUCGGAUGUGCCCAGAUGGGAUUAGCUAGUAGGUGGGGUAACGGCUCACCUAGGCGACGAUCCCUAGCUGGUCUGAGAGGAUGACCAGCCACACUGGAACUGAGACACGGUCCAGACUCCUACGGGAGGCAGCAGUGGGGAAUAUUGCACAAUGGGCGCAAGCCUGAUGCAGCCAUGCCGCGUGUAGGAAGAAGGCCUUCGGGUUGUAAAGUACUUUCAGCGGGGAGGAAGGGAGUAAAGUUAAUACCUUUGCUCAUUGACGUUACCCGCAGAAGAAGCACCGGCUAACUCCG